AUGGCCUACUGUGAUGCCUCUGAUUAGAAGAUAAAUUUGAGGAAGUCCUCAAUUUUCUUUGGCUCUAGGUGUUCGCACAGUGUUAAACAAGAGGUUAAGAACAUACUGCAGGUUCACAAUGAAGUACUACAAGACACAUACCUUGGUAUGCCUACUGUGAUAGGCCUAGUUGUCUGUGGUUCUUUUAGUUUCUUGCCUGGUCGUGUGUGGAAGAGCAUACAUGGAUGGACUGGUCGGCCCUUGUCAAGUGCCGAUAAGGAGGUACACUUGAAAGCGGUUGUGCAGUCCAUACCGGCUUAUGUUUUGAGCUGCUUAUGUUGGGAAACAUUGCAUGGAAAACAAUUUUUUUCUAUGCACAUGCAAGAUCUAUCCAUGGAGAUGCAUAGCUACGAGAGGGGAAGAGCAUCUACAUACCCUUGA
RNAcentral lists this ribosomal RNA (420 nucleotides) under Triticum aestivum (bread wheat). Its description in RNAcentral is "partial small subunit ribosomal RNA". Lineage: Eukaryota; Viridiplantae; Streptophyta; Magnoliopsida; Poales; Poaceae. The record is from RNAcentral.